RNAcentral lists this ribosomal RNA (777 nucleotides) under uncultured Neocallimastigales. RNAcentral's name for it is "partial large subunit ribosomal RNA". It matches the Rfam family "Eukaryotic large subunit ribosomal RNA", at positions 26 to 641 of the family's 3401-position model. The record is from RNAcentral. Lineage: Eukaryota; Fungi; Neocallimastigomycota; Neocallimastigomycetes; Neocallimastigales.
CGCAUCUGUGCAUGCAGCAUAUCAAUAAGCGGAGGAAAAGAAACUAACAAGGAUUCCCCUAGUAACAGCGAGUGAAGCGGGAAGAGCUCAAAUUUGAAAUCUUAAAGGGUUUCCCUUUACGAAUUGUAGUUUAAAGAAGUGUUUUCCUGUUGAGGUUUUGGUAAAAGUUCUUUGGAAUAGGACAUCAUAGAGGGUGAGAAUCCCGUAUUUGACCUUUACUUUCAACUUUGUGAUACACUUUCAAAGAGUCGGAUUGUUUGGGAAUGCAGUCCAAAAUGGGUGGUAAAUUUCAUCUAAAGCUAAAUAUUGGCGAGAGACCGAUAGCGAACAAGUACCGUAGAGGGAAAGAUGAAAAGAACUUUGAAAAGAGAGUUAAACAGUACGUGAAAUUGUCAAAAGGGAAGCGUUUGACACCAGUGUUGUUUUUCUGAAAAUCAAUUAAAGAACUGUUUAUGCUAAGUUGUUUAGACUUUAUCAGCUAACUGUUUAGCUUUUGAGCUUUUCUUUAAUGCACUUUUCAGUUAACAAGUCAACAUCAAUUUCUUUUGCUGUAAAAAAGCUUGAGGAAGGUGGCUUGAGAUUCGUCUUAAGUGUUUAUAGCCUCUUGCCUAUGCAGUCGGAGAGAUUGAGGUCUGCAGCGUAGAUCCUUCGGGGCUAAAUGCAUUUGUGCUAAGUUAUAACAUUUUAUAGACAACUUGUUGACUAUGAUUUGUCUUGUAGCUUACUCGCUUAUGUUAUUUUACCUACGCUUAGGAUGUUGAACGCGCACAGAGUCUC